AGAAACUUCACCAACAGAAAAACCCUAUCAUAGGUUGAUCUAAUCCUUUCAAAGACAAGGAGAGUUAAGGAUUUACAUCACAUCUCUGCUCACCUGGGAGAAUUCACCUCCUCCUCCUCAUUGCUACAGCAGCUACUUCUUGCUGUUGGUUGGGUAACUCAGGAGAGCUUUGCUGUAUGAAAAGCAGCCUUUGGAUCCUCUUCAGAAGAUGAACAUCUCUGCAGGCUGUAACCAGAAAAGAGAGGGGAGCAGGGUGUGAGAUGAGUGUGAGAUCAGUGUGCCCCCACAGCUGCUGCCUUUGGGAAAGCUGGACUGGAGCUGCUCCUGUAACAGCCUCAGCCUGGUUGGUGGAAGCCUUGCACAGGUUUUUGGAGGGAAGUUCCAGAUCAGAUUCCUCAUCCUGAGCCUGCCCAUCAAGAUCUCAUUUGCCAGAUAACAGGAGCAGCUUGUGCAGUGCUCAGGGUGCAGUCACAUCGUGCUGGAGAUUAAACCCGAGCUGAUGAAUGAACCCUUCACUCCUGUGAGUAAUUGCCAACCAUUAAAGCCUUAAACUGGCAACAGUCCUGCAGCACAGUCAGGGAAAUGGUAAAAAGCUGUAAUUGCAACCUGUGCUCCUUCACAGUAAUGUCAGUCUUAUUGUGGCACAUGCAGAUUGAGUGCUGUGCCACUGUACACUAAUAUAGAGUAUCAGUGCUGCCCACCCCAGCAGGAACCUCUGGAGCUGCAACCCAUUGGAAAAGGUCUUUGAAGGCUCUAAAUAUCCCACAUUGCUCCCUGUUUCUAAAUCAGAGCAAUGGAAGCUAAAUAUAGGCUGACUCUGGUUGUGACAGAUCAUGAAAGCAAUUCUUAUUCAUUUUGAUUCUUGCCCAGAAUAUCCUUCUUGCAGUCCUACUUCUGAACCGUUGAAGAAAACAACCCUGACAAGUCACCCUUCAGCCUGAGCUGCAGAGAGGAGAGGCUCUGCACAGCAGAAUGCAGACUGAAACACAGAAUUGGGCAUUUCCCUCCUUUCUGUACCAAACCCAGACUCCCAUCAGGUGUCAGGGCCAGGAGCUUUACCUGCUUUCCCUGGCACUGCUGCGUUGGUGCCAUCAGCACUCUGGUUUCAUUCAUGGUUCAGGGAUCCAUCACCCAGGGGAUGCUUUGGAAUGCUCUGGAUCCAGUCUUGUGGCUCCAUCACUCAGGGGAUGCUCUGGAUCCAGGCUCAGGGCUCCAUCACCCAGAGGAUGCUUUGGCUGCCCUGGAUCCAGGUUCAUGGCUCCAUCUGCCCAGAGGCUGUCCUGGAUCCAGGCCCGUGGCUCCAUCACCCAGGGGCUGCCCCAGACUCAGGUUCAUGGCUCCAUCACCCAGAGGAUGCUCUGGGCUGUUUGGAUCCAGGCUCGUGGCUCCAUCACCCAGAGGAUGCUUUGGCUGCCCUGGCACACAGCGCUGCCAGCCCUGCUGCACCCAGGCCUCCCCAGCCCCAAAGGUGGAGAAUGAAAAGCUGAGGCCGCUGUCAGAGAGCAGGGCAGUUCCUGAGGAAGGAGUGGCUGCACAAGCCUGAUGCUCGGGCACUGGGCAUUCCUGACAACAGGGGUGGUGCCCCGAGGAGGCAGGAACAGGCUCCCACCGUCCCUCUGGGAAGCAGAGCAUUCCUGAGAACAAGAGCACAGCGAGGAUUUUAUCUGUUGUACAUGCUGUGUACAGCCUCCCAGGGAAUACAGCUGCAUUCACACUUUAAGGUUAAAAUCCAGACCAGUGGAGAAAUGGAGGUGUUAUUCCUGCUGUGGGAACAGUGACGAUUACAAAGGGAAAACACAGGCAGACAGGAGGAAAUUCAGCUUGGUCUGUCUGUGGUACUGGCAUCCCAAAGGCAGUUUCUCUUCUGUUUCCAGGCAUUCUGGAAGCACUGUAAAGCCCCAGAGCCACAGAAAUCGCAAAUUUACACCUGAAGGUUUUGCAUCUCCAGCUCAGGAAAUGGAGGCAGGGCUGCAGGAACAGAUGGGAGCUAUCAGCCAGCUCAGGAGUGAUGUGCCUCAGGAGGUGCUUCAUUUGUGGAGCUGCUGAGAUCAAACAAUCACAAAGAUCCUUGGCACCAUCCAGAGAAGGGGAAUUGGGUUCCUAUGGCCCAGUUCUCCCUUUCAGACAUUUGCUGUAAGCCUGGGGGAGGACAGGGGGGCGCAGGGACCCCCAGGCUCCCCCUGCCCCACAGGAGCCUGGCUGGGGAGGCAUCCUGCAGGUACAGAAUUAGUGUCAGAGGGAGGCACAAGGCACCUUCUGCUCCUACAGAAUGAAACAGAGCAGGGCUAAUGGUGAGCUCCCAGAAGUGCACGAGAAAUGUGAAUGUCAGACGCCCAAAAUAUUGUUAAACACGAGUGAUUUGCGAAUUAAAAUAUUACCAGGCUGCUAUUUUUAGCCCAGUGGAACCUUUAGUCAUUCCACAUUUAGAUGGCUUAUCAGAAUUAAAUAAAUAACAGCAAUGGUUACUGCUCAAAUUAGGUCUGUCUCGGUUUCCAUGGCAUCCAAUCUGUUAUCUCCAAUACUCCUGCCAGGAUUUGUAGUGGGGCUCUGGGACAGCAACGUUUCUUAUAAGGCUUAUAAGGAAUUAUCCUGUAGCAAUUUCAGCUAUAUGGUUUCUAUGAAACCCUGGAAUAAAUGGAU
Long non-coding RNA from Zonotrichia leucophrys gambelii, 2640 nucleotides. RefSeq lists it as uncharacterized. The record is from RefSeq and is a predicted model, not a curated record. The transcript has 3 exons. NCBI's taxonomy places the organism in Eukaryota, Metazoa, Chordata, Aves, Passeriformes, Passerellidae.